Molecule: microRNA precursor, 78 nt
Filed under: Schistosoma curassoni
Lineage: Eukaryota; Metazoa; Platyhelminthes; Trematoda; Strigeidida; Schistosomatidae
Description: mir-3492 microRNA precursor family
Rfam family: mir-3492 microRNA precursor family
Source: Rfam by way of RNAcentral
AGAUUUUCGAAUCCGUGCUGAGAUUUCGUCGCACACCAAUAAAUUUGGGCUGAUUAGACUACCAAGAUAAGUGAAGUU